This 839-nucleotide ribosomal RNA is filed under the name Fusarium torulosum. RNAcentral describes it as "partial large subunit ribosomal RNA". It matches the Rfam family "Eukaryotic large subunit ribosomal RNA", at positions 69 to 938 of the family's 3401-position model. Lineage: Eukaryota; Fungi; Ascomycota; Sordariomycetes; Hypocreales; Nectriaceae. The record is from RNAcentral.
CAGGGAUUGCCCUAGUAACGGCGAGUGAAGCGGCAACAGCUCAAAUUUGAAAUCUGGCUUUCGGGCCCGAGUUGUAAUUUGUAGAGGAUACUUUUGAUGCGGUGCCUUCCGAGUUUCCUGGAACGGGACGCCAUAGAGGGUGAGAGCCCCGUCUGGUUGGAUGCCAAAUCUCUGUAAAGUUCCUUCGACGAGUCGAGUAGUUUGGGAAUGCUGCUCUAAAUGGGAGGUAUAUGUCUUCUAAAGCUAAAUAUUGGCCAGAGACCGAUAGCGCACAAGUAGAGUGAUCGAAAGAUGAAAAGCACUUUGAAAAGAGAGUUAAAAAGUACGUGAAAUUGUUGAAAGGGAAGCGUUUAUGACCAGACUUGGACUUGGUUAAUCAUCUGGGGUUCUCCCCAGUGCACUUUUCCAGUUCAGGCCAGCAUCAGUUUUCGCCGGGGGAUAAAGGCAGCGGGAAUGUGGCUCUCUUCGGGGAGUGUUAUAGCCCGUUGUGUAAUACCCUGGUGGGGACUGAGGUUCGCGCUUCUGCAAGGAUGCUGGCGUAAUGGUCAUCAACGACCCGUCUUGAAACACGGACCAAGGAGUCGUCUUCGUAUGCGAGUGUUCGGGUGUCAAACCCCUACGCGUAAUGAAAGUGAACGCAGGUGAGAGCUUCGGCGCAUCAUCGACCGAUCCUGAUGUUCUCGGAUGGAUUUGAGUAAGAGCAUACGGGGCCGGACCCGAAAGAAGGUGAACUAUGCCUGUAUAGGGUGAAGCCAGAGGAAACUCUGGUGGAGGCUCGCAGCGGUUCUGACGUGCAAAUCGAUCGUCAAAUAUGGGCAUGGGGGCGAAAGACUAAUCGA